RNAcentral lists this long non-coding RNA (31294 nucleotides) under Phaseolus vulgaris (common bean). Its description in RNAcentral is "long non-coding RNA (PVUL_LNC004843)". Lineage: Eukaryota; Viridiplantae; Streptophyta; Magnoliopsida; Fabales; Fabaceae. The record is from RNAcentral.
AAUUUUUACUUUGAGUGAUUACACUUAUACUAUAAAAUGCAACAAGAUAUUUGUUAAAGUAAAUGUGGAGUACAUAAUUAAAACAGAGGUAAAUUAAGAUGAUAAAAUAUCACUUUCAGAAUAUAAUAAAGACUGAGAUAAUAAAGGUUGUGUUGGAUUAGUAUAAAUCACGUGGAAUAUGAUAAUGCGACUGUAAGAAGAAAUGGACUAAUGGUUGUCCAAAUUAAAAACUAAAUUUAUUAUAAUUUUGUUUCAUGUGGAUUGUGUAUAGUUUAUGGUGUAAUGAUGAAAUAGAGACAACAAAACACCGGUUUUGUAAAAUGUAAAAUUAUUAGUAACGAUAAAUGGAUAGGAGUUGAUUAAGUUUCACUAUUAAUAGUUUUACUCACCUGACUUAGAGUUGUGGAUUAGAUGACAUGCAUACAACAGGCUCGUUUAAAUUGUGCAUUAUGAAAAAUUUGCAAAAAAAAAAAAAUGUUUAAAUAGUAUGACAACUAAUUUUGGUAUGUAAAUGGAACAUGUUGGCAAAUGGAGGCUGAUUACUCCCUGAUAUUUUGUAUAAACGAGUUGAGUUGGAUCAUCUUUCUAAUGUUUUAUUUAAGUUUAUUAAUUCUUUGUUAAUAAAGAAAAGCAUAGGUAAAUUAAGAUGCAAAAGUUCUUACCUGUUACAUCCAUUAAUAGUUCUUCCAGUAUUCCUGUAUCACCCGAAAACGAAGGAAAAUAUCAAUUUCAGAACUGUUAAUCUCAACAACUAUACCAACUAAAUGCAUGACUUUUUCUACAAGCAGCUUAUGUGCAUGAGUUCUAACUAAUAAUACAGGUAAAAUAUACAAAGUAAUGAAUUAAUACUCAUCUAAAAAUUGAUAGAAUACAGAAGGGUGAAUCAUAAAUAUAAAUAUAUAUGUUUGACAUUUGGUUUAGGAUCACUCACCAUACCCGCAAUUAAGCUUCUGGUUAGAAGAGUCGAAAUAGCAAUCUCUAUAGGAAAGUGAACAAUGUUUCUGACAGGGUAGUUUUAUCCAUGAAAUCUCGAAUCCAUAGGCGAGUGCGGUGUGCAUGGAAGAGUAGGAAUGGUUAUCGAAAGUGGAGAGAGAAGUGGGAGCAACAAGCUUUACCUCACACCCAACUUCUAAGUCCUCUGCUUUUAGGUCUCCACCAAUUGCAUAUGAAUACCCCUUCCCCUCCCACUUCACCCACUCUCCACUCUCCACAUACUUCCCUUUCUCUCCCACCGAAUCGUUACAAUUCACCAACACUAUAUGCGAGAAACUCAGAGAUUCCCAAUUUACAGAGGCUCUUAGACCAGCUUGGUAUGGAUCCGUGUAGUAAGCGUAAGUGUCAGAGAAAUUGGAGCGAGAGAGGAAACGGAGAGGAAGGGAGGAGAGAUUAUGGUGUUGAAGAGCAGGAUCAACCACUCUCACUGUGUAGUUCUUGUAGUUUAUUGAUUGCACAUGAUAUUUUCCAGAGUAGAGAUACAACACCGUAACGUUAUUCUCACAACCAAGCUCAUACCUUUCCUCACCACACUCUUCUGGGUCGCCUUUGAAUCGAAAAGGGUAAUUGAUGUUGGUGAUUUGACCACAGGAAGAGGAGGGGCAGCCACCAUGAAUUUUGUGGACUAGAAGUAGCAGUACCACCAUGAAUGCUCUCUCUCUCCACAUCAUGUCCAAACUGUUUCUCAUUGAAUUCAAGUGCAAACAAAUCCAAGUUAGAUACUUAUAACAAGAGAGACUGAACUAUAUAUAUACCUAUGAAGGACCACAUUUUUCCUUUUAGAAGAUUGUUUGAAGACUUAUGUAUGAUACGUACCGUGAAUUCUUAUUUAGGUAUUUAAUAAUGUAAAUUUUUUAAUGGGAGUUCUUUGAGUUUCUAAAGCCAUCCUAAAUCCUUCUCUUUUGGAAGGUUUUAUUAAUAUGCUGUUCAAAAACAAUUUUAUGGAAUUACUUUGAGAAUCCAAUUAAAGAAAUAGUUCAGGACUUACUUUUAAAUAGAGACAAAACAUAAAUAUAUAUUAUAGUAAAUCAUGGAAAAAUGAUCGAAAUAAUUUUUUAAAUCCUGAUUGAAAAACAAUAUUUUUAUAAUGCUUUUGAUUUUUUUUUUCUACUUUAAAUAUUUGAAAUUAUUUAAGGGCUAAAAGUUCUACCACAUAUAGACUUCAUAUAGACUUCUGGCGAAAAGGAUAUUUUUCCAUUAAUAUCCGUAUUGAUAAGCUUUAUUGAGCCACAAAUUCUAAUGAGUUUCACAGGUUUGUCUUAUCUAAACACUUGAUAUGCAAGUACAUAAUUGACGCAUUCAAAUGACAAUAUAGGUAGAUUUUUUUUAUCAAUAAAAAAUAAGAACAUAUUAUAUGUUUAAGAUAUUUGAAAAAUAUUUCAACCCUAUUAAAAAAACAUAAAUUGUGUAUAUACAUAACUCAAGUAAUCAUAAAUAAGCAUAACAUCCUAUUAUAAUAAUCGUCCAAAAAAAUGCAUCCUCACCACCAUCCGUCCCACACCAUAAACAGCUAGAUGAGAAUUUUAUAAACUACAAGAAAAUCAUUAAAUAGAAAUCAAUUUUUAGAAACAAAAAAUAAUUAGUUGUUAUAUUGACUAAAUUAGAUAUCAUUUUAAAAAUUAAAAAAAUUAUUUUUUAAAUUAGUUUGUAUUAUUGUUAAAUAAUUUCUAAAUUUGUAUUUAAUUAGCUACCAAGGUUUUUGCUACCAAAUUUAAAAACUAAAUAAUUGGUAGCUAAUUACAUAUCAAUACUAAUUUAGAAACCAAUAAUUUUUUUAGUCUCUAAAAUGGUCUCUAAUUUAGUCAAUAUAACAAUUAAUUAUUUUUUGUCUUUAAAAUUAGUUUCUAUUUAAUGAUUUUCUUAUAAUGUUAUAAUUACAGAGAUUACAACAACACAAGGCUAAAUAGUACACAUAAUGUAUGUUAGGGUUGAUUCUUCGCGCGCAAGACUUGAACCCUCAGGACGUUGUGUUGUUGGGAUGGAAAACAAUGUCGUCAAAGUUGGUUUUGGAGUUGUGGCAAUUUUGGGUUGUUGCCUUUUUUCACUCUAUAAAUAGGGGUUUCAUACACCUUUCCAAAAUCAUCACUCGCGACUUCUAACACUUUUUCUCUUUUAUUUAUUUCUUUCUUUCUUUCUAAUAUUUUCUUGGGUUCUUACUCUUUUAAGAGUUGUUUGUUAGUUUUGAUGUUCUCGAUAAUAUCUGAUAAGUUCCUAUUGUAUCUUGGAGAACUUGCGCAAUACACAGCGGAUAAGUACUAACAAACAGUGAUCAUCACGCCUCAGGAAGUCAACAUUGUUCGUGUUUUUUCAACCUUAUUCACUACAAUUGUAAGGAAUUAUGGUUGAGAAUACGAACAAAAACAACAAGUCUACAUUGGAGACGUCAAACAAUGUUUCCGCAACACAAAGCAUCUUUGUGAAAUUGUUUCUAGAUGUCACAAAAAUUGAAGACUUCGCUGAUAAAUUUUUUUUACCCUGGCAAGAAUGUCUGUCUACCCUGUUGGACAGGUAUAGAAUCGCUUUUACACUUACAACUUCUAAACCCAACUCAAGCACACUUUCAAAAAAUAUUGACGAUUGGACUUGUGCAAAUAAGGUAUGUCGUCACACCUUUCUCGGUGUUUUAUAACAAUCUGUUUGAUGGCUAUUGCUUUUACAAGAAAGCAAAAUAUAUUUGGGAUUCUCUUAUUCUCAAAUAUACUGCCGAAGACGUCAUUAGACAAAGGUUCAUGAUUGAAAACUAUUAUCAUUGGGAGAUGAUUGAAGACAAGGACAUCAAAAUUCAAAUGAACGAAUACCACAAGCUGCUUGAAGAUAUCAAAUAAGAAACCAUAGCUUUUCCUAAUGAAUUCGUUUCUGAAUUACAAAUCAAAAAAUGUUUGCAAUCAUGGACAAACUACAAACAACAACUGAAGUAUAUGCACAAACAAAUGUCAUUGUCAGACCUGAUUACCCAGAUCAUCAUUGAAGACACUAACAAAAAUGUGUGUGUUGCUGCAAGGGCUAAAGCCUUGUUUGCUAAGGCAAACAUGGAAGAAGACAAACCAACUGCAAAAAGGUACGAGAAAAAUCUUGAUUACAAGAAAAAUAAUAAAUUUUCUUGUCCCUAACCCCACCUUCAAGAAGAAGGGAAAUUGCUUUGUUGAUGGAAGGCUAGGUCAUCAUGCACCUCAGUGCAAACAUAGGGCAAAAAACGACAAUUCUUCUAAGGAAUAUAUAGUCAAAGAGGAAAAUACCAUUGUUGCGAUCGUUUCACAAGUGAAUCUUGUGACCAAUGUGAGUAAAUGAGUGGUAGAGUCUGGGGCUACCAGACACAUAUGUGCGAACAAAAAUGUGCUUACCUCCUACACAAGUGUGGGGGAUGGAGAAGAACAAGUCUAUCUCGGUGAUUCCAGGACAACUCCUAUCCUAGGAAAAUGAAAGGUUCUUCUAAAGCUCACAUAUGGUAAGACUUUGGCUUUAAGUGAUAUGCUACAUGUGCCAUUGAUUAGAGUUAAUUUGAUCUUUGUAGCAUUGCUAGGAAAAAUUGGGAUUAAAGUGUUAUUUGAAUAUGACAAGAUUGUUAUGAAAAAAUAUAAUAUUUUUGUGGGGAAGGGAUAUUGUGAUCAAGGUCAUUUUGUAUUUAACAUUUAUGAAGUUAUUAAUGAAUAUGAGUAUUCUACUUAUAUUGUUGACUCUUCUGAUGUGUAUCAUGCUAGAUUAGGACAUGUGAAUUCUUCGUAUGUUAUGGUAUCGCAACGACUAUGAUUAAUUAACAUGCAUAAAAAACAAAAUAGUAAAUGCGAUAUAUCUAUAGAAUCUAAAAUAACGAAAAAAAUGUCAUUAUGUAGAACGUCAAAUUGAAUUUCUUGGUUUAAUUCAUACGAACUUAUUGAUUUAAAACAAAUCAUGUCUAGAGGCGAUAAACAUUAUUUUGUAUUUAUAUAUGAUUAUUCUAUAUACACCAAAGUGUACUUGAUUAAACAUAAAGAUGAAUUAUUUGAUAUGUUCUUAACUUAUAAGACGAAAUUAGAAAAUCAAUUCAAUAGGAAAAUUAAAAGAAUUAGGUCAGAUAGAGGUGGUGAAUAUGUUUUAUUUAAUGAUUUUUGUGUUAAAGAAAUUAUUAUUCAUGAAGUAACCCCACCAUAUUCAUCUGAAUCUAAUGGUGUAGCUGAAAGGAAAAAUAAGACUCUUAUAGAAAUGAUGAAUGCGAUGUUUAUUAGUUCUAAUGCUCUUGAUAAUCUUUGGAGUGAAUCUUUGCUUACAACAUGUUGUUUUGCAAAAUAAGAUAUCAUAUAAGAAAACUGGUAAAAUACCUAAGAGUGUGGAUGUGUUUAGCUAAAGUGGUGUUACCUAAUCCUAAGAAAAGAAAAAUAGGUUUUAAAACUUCUGAUUGUUUGUUCUUAGACAAUGCAAAACAUAAUAUUGCCUAUAGGUUUCUUGUUCUUAAUAGUGAUAUAAUUAAACGUAACACUAUAGUAAGGAGCUUAUUGCAUUUAAUGAGUUCUUCUAGAUCAUAUAUUGCUUAUGCAGUAAGUAGAUUGAGUAGGUACACUCAAUGUCCUAGUCAAGAUCAUUGGGAUGCGCUUGCAAGACUCAUGAAAUACCUAAGAGGAACAAUGGAGUAUGCCAAUGAAUAUAGUGGAUUCCCCGUUGUAUUAGAAGGGUACAAUGAUGCUAAUUGGAUCUCUGAUUCAUGUGAGACAAAAUCCACUAGUGGUUAUAUGUUUACACUUGAGGGUGGUGCAUUUACAUGCAGAUCAACUAAGCAAACAAUUAUUGCAAGAUCAACAGUGACAUCUAAGUUUGUUGUUCUCAAAAUGGAUGGUAGUGGAGCUGAGUGGUUGAAAAAAUUCUUAGUAGACAUUCCAUUAGGAAUGAAACCUGUUAGAAUACAUGGCCUUAAACGAGAGGGGGGGUGAAUUGUUUAAGAAAGGUUUUUGAAAAAAAAUUCAGCUAGAACAAAAUCCUUUGUAUGAAACUCAAUCAGAAAUUCAGUUAGCCAAGAUAUAAAGCACAAAACAGCAAAGCACCAGAAAAACAAUCAGUUGUUUAUACCAGCAAAGCAAUAACAGUUGAAUUUAAAUGAGUUUAAGGGAAGAAAGAGAUACACAAACAGUUUAUACUGGUUCACUCUUAAACCAAAAGCUACAUCCAGUCCCCAGAAGCCACUGGGCAAUCCACUAAGCAAUCAACACAGAUUACACACAAACCACCAAAGAAGUGACCUUGAACCCUUCAAGAAACACACUUCCUUUGGCACAACACACACCAAGAAUGUUGAUCUUGACAACCUCAAGAGCACACAACACUCUUUGGCAACAACAUCAAAAUUUACAGAAAAUUCAGAACGAAUUACAGUUGUUUACAGAACAAUCUGAAAUCAAUACAGAUGUAAUCCUAUUCCACUCUCUCUUGAGAAAACCCAAAGCUUUUUGUGAAUAUUCAAAACUUGAAAGCAAUCUUUCACAAAUAAAAAACUCAAAUCUGUUUUUUCUUGUUUGUUAUAAAACAUAAACAAACAAUUUAUAGCUUUCAAAGAUUGGUCAAAACAUUUAAUUGAGGAGCGUAAACAGUUGGAAAUCAUUUAAAGCACACUCAACUAACAAAACAGAAUUCUUUUAGGAUUUUCAAAGGAACAAUUGAUUGAAACGACGAAACAAUCGAUUGUUUUGACAGCAAGUCAACCAACCAAAACAGUUUUCAACCUUUUCAAAAACACCUAAGAGCAAAACAAUCGGUUGUUUCGACAAAACAACAAGUUUUUUUCACUUAGUUUGAAAAACACUUUAAACUCAAAAAGGUUUUAAAACACAUUAGCUUUAGAUUCAACAAAGAGUGGAUUACACAAAUAAACUACCCAUAUCCUAUCCUAAACACAACAGCAACUCCAGCCUUGCAUCAAACACUUGAAUUAGGAUUCUUCAAAGCCUUUGAUCACUGUAAAUCAACAAAACCGACCCCUUCUGUAUCAAUACAUUGUGAUUUCCAAUCGACAAUAGCUAUAACAAAAAAUAAAACUUACAAUGGAAAGAAUAGGGAUAUACAAUUGAGCAUAAUUGAUUUAAUAUUAAAUUUGUCCAUUCCUUUGGUGUGUGAAAGUUCUAUACACUGCAUUAUCGAGGGGGUAAACUGUGUGGUUAAAUGUAUGAGUUAUAAGAGUUUUACUGUCUAACAAAGUUUUAAUGAUUUCUAUAUCCCUUACCGGUGGUGUAUGAUUUGUUGCAUACACUUGAUGAAAUCACCUAUACGAGUGUCAAAUGGGGUCGCUUGCAUGGGAUCUUGGCAAGAUUUCUCGAGCACUCAUGAAUACCAGGCACGCACAUGGCCUAGUAACUGCAACAUAACGAUAACAACAAAAUUUGUGAUGGUGUAUUGUGAUUGAUAAACCGCUAACACAUACUAAGUGUCUCGGUUCUUAUAACUUGCUCUAUCAACUACACUGUGUGUUAAGUUCAUCAGUCUAAGAAUGGUUUAUAUAGUUUGUUAUACCAACUAUGAUGCAUUACUAUCUUUUGCAGUAUGUGGGGGGGAUUGUUGUAAAACCGAUUGAGAUAUCACCUUUUAUAACGAUGAUGCAUAACAAACCCAAAGAGUGUCAUUCCGUUGUUGCGUCUUUUCCGUCGACCUCCAUGCACCUAUCCUGAUCUUCUUUGAGCGCUUCUCGGAUGCAGGGCAUAUUUCCAUCUGCUAUGCAUGCUUUGGUUGCUUCCAAAUGUAUUUCAUUUCCAAAUCCCAAUGUAGUUGAUCCUUUUUAUGCUAUCCAACGCACAUAUUUUGUGUCCUAAUUGUUUCUUUGUGGGAGCAUAUGAUGUGUCUCCUUGCCUUCAAAUGAUCAUUGCUACCCCUGCACUGCAAACUAGAUUGGGCACUCUAUGUCUCUAAUAAUUCUUCCCAUAGUGCCCAACUAUGCAGCUAUUGCAACUCAACUCCCCUUCAUUUUUGUUGCAGAUGUACCAAACCAUAUAGCAAGCUCCCUCAGCUCCCCUUCAUUUGCAGAUGCUUCAAACCAGAUAACAACCUUCAGCUUCCCUCUGCUACAAUUGCACCAGAUCAGAAGGCAUACUCCUAGGCAAGAAUAUUGCAUCUCACUUCCCUCUUCACUUCAUAUCUUUGUCCCUAUAAUAAACUUGAAUAUUAUUGAUGGUGAUUGUUGUUGGUAUUUCAUCCCCUGAUUAAAAUUCCAACACAUACAAUAAACCACCUUUCUCGAUUCUUCAAGCAAUAUAAUUUACUCCACCAAUAAAUGAGCUAAAAAAUUUCAGCAACCAAAGGAGUACAUAAAAACUCCUACCAAGUAGUACCAUUGAACUUGGCAUAGAUGAUCUCCAAUAAAUAUGGUCCCACUAAAUACAAAACCUAAUCACCCACUAAAUACACAUUUUUAACCAAAGGUUUGGCAUGUUCCACUCAGUUAACCCAAAUUUAAAGUUUUUAACUUUUACUUUCACCCAAGUCUAGGUUUUUAAUUCGCCCAUGUAGAAGACUUCAUUGCUUAAAAAUUGUCCAAUUCCUAAGAUCCCAAAUACACCCAAUGAUAACAAUCCAUAACUCCUUCCAUAUCAAGUUUUGUUUUCGGUUUACAUUAUACAGAUGGAUUGUUCAAAAUGACACCUUAGAUCGUCAUGUUGUUCGAACAUAAUGUUUAUCCAUCUAUAACAUAUAUUCCGCACCGAACUUGAAAACUUGAUCUGCAGGAACAAAUGUUGUACAAUUUCUUCCUCUUCUUUAUAGAGAGGGCAGACGCUUGAACUUAAAGGAACCCCUCUUCUAAUUACGUUGUCUUUGGUGGCUAGUUUACCCAAAAGAGUCCUCCAUGCUUGGGUCAAGGCACUAGGAACCACUUUGAUAGACCAGAGGGUAUAAAAUAGGUUACAAUUUUUAGUGUUGGGGUAUUAAAUAUCAUCUUAUAGGUUGUUUUGACUAAAAACAAAUCAGACUCGUCUGUUGCCCACAACCUUGAGUCGCCUUCCUCCCUAUACAUUUCUAUAUUAUUUGAAAACCUCUAGGAAACAUAUUUUUUUGCAUAUAUUUCCACUCAAACCUAUUCCUUUUCCAAUUUAAUCUUCAUUGCCAACCAAACUCUGUCCAAACACCUAAGUCCUUUAACAAUCUACCUUAGUCUAAGGAUAUGGAGUACAACCUAGGAAAAAUAUUCUUAAGGCUCUUACUUAUCCUCCUUUAAUAUGAUUUUGUCCUUUGAUCCUAUUUUCCAUCAGAAACCAUUGUCAAACCAAUUUAUGUCUUCUCCCACACACUUUGCUUAAAUCUUUCCACCACCAUUACUAAGCUUAACUUGUGUAGUUAAAUGUUCAUAACAUCUUAAGAUAGCUUUAAUGCAAAGCACAUAGCACAUUUUGAUAACUAUUAUCACACAUAAAUAGUGUAUCAUCUGAAAAAUGUAAUAGAUAGAUUUCAACUUCUAACCUUCCUAUUGAAAUUAAUAAUCAUUGAUUUGUUUUUAUCAGUUGAACGUACAUGUACACUAAUGCUUUGUUCUCAUCAAAGAAUGUAUUUGAAGGAGUGAAAAAACGAGAGAAAGAGAGUGAAAAAUGAGAUGGUUUGAAUUGAGGGAAAGAAAAUAAGAAGUGAAAGAAAAAUGUGUGAAUGAUUUGAUAGAUAUAAUAAAUUUAAAAUGAUUAUAAAUAAUUUAAUAUAAAAAAAUUUAGAAAGAUAAAUUAGAAUUAAAAUAGAUUAAAAAAUAUAAAUGAAAAAUAAUAAUAAAGAUACUAUUAAGAAGUGGACGUUAAGUCUAACUCAACCACAUAACACCGGCUCAUAGAGUUAAGGUUUGCACUCACUUAUAUACAAUGAAAUGUCCUUAUCUCUAGUCGAUGUGGGAUCUCCAACACACCCCUCAUAUUAUGGGUGGUGGCCUGAUAAACCCAACAAACACUCGCUAGGAUAGGCUUGAAAUGGCUCUGAUACAAUAUUAGAUAGUGGACUUUAAGCCUAACUCAACCCCAUAAAACCGGCUCAUAAGAUUGAGGAUUGCACCCACUUAUAUACAAUGAAAUGUCCUUAUCUCUAGUCGAUGUGGGAUCUCUAACACACCCCCUCACGCCGAGAGUGAUAGAUAGAAGCUCGUGCGUGGGAUAACAUAUUAUGGGUGGUGGCCUGAUAAACCCAACAAACACUCGUUAGGAUAGACUCGAAAAUGACUCUAAUACCAUAUUACAAAGUGGACUUUAAGCCUAACUCAACCCCAUAAAAUCGGCUCAUGGGGGUGAGGUUUGCACCCACUUAUAUACAAUUAAGAAAGUUUGAAGAAAUAAAAAUACUUUAAUUUUUGUGAUUUCUAUUUUUUUUUCGAUUUUAAUUUUCUCUUCAAGAUCGGCGUAUUUUUUUCGCCUGGAAACAAAUAUACCGUAAAAGGAUUAUUUAAAGUUUGAAAGAUGUUUUGAUUUUUUCCAUUAGUCCGAUAAAGGAGACAGUGGACCUAGGAUUGUGACAGGAAGCUUAAUGCAGGUUUAAAUUUGGAAGAAAUUCACUGAUUAGUGUAUAGAAAAUAUAACCCACACUCACUCGGUAUUACCUUGACUUGGUAGAGCUAAAUGAAUUUGAAUAAAUCAUUUAGCUAAUUCGACAUCGGAAUUCAUAUGUUCUUUUCAUCAGACAACGACAACCCAAGCUGCGAAGCUUCUUCCUCAUCAUCAUCAACUUAUAAUUUCUUUUAUUUUCUUCUUUUUUCUAACCUCUCUGGUAUGGCUUAUCACUUGGUCAAAAGUUCCACCACAUGUAGACCAACUUUCCAUUAGUAUCCGUAUUGAUAAGUUUUAUUGAACCACAAAUUCUAAUGAGUUUCACAGAUUUGUCUUAUAUAAACACUUGAUAUGCAGGUACAUAAUUGACGCGGUCAAAUAACAAUAUAUGUAGAAAUAAUUCAUAUAUUAAAAUUAAUAAUUAUUGAUUUAUUUUUAUCAGAUCAACAUACAUGAACACUACAAGAAUUAUUUAAAGUUUGUAUUGAAAUUCUGCAUUAACUAAAUUUUUUGUAAUAUAUAAAUAGAAAUAAAUUUUAUUUUAUAAAUCAAUUUUAUAACUUUAAAUUAAAAUUAAAAUUCACUUUUAAUACUUAAUUGUUGGAAAAAUAUUUUGAUUUCUUUGAUUAGUGUCUGAUAAAGAAGAGUCUGGACCUGUGAGAAGCUUUAAAUGAAUUUGAAUAAGUCAUAUAGCUAAUUCGACAUCAGAAUUCAUAUGUUCUUUUCAUCAGACAACAACCCAAGUUGUGAGGCUUCUUCCUCAUCAUCAACUUAUAAUUUCUAACCUCUCUGGUACGGCUUGUUAUUACAAGGCCAAUUUUAUUUUUUUUUCAAAUUCCAAACAUUAUGUGUUGUAAAACACAAAUUCUUUUAGGUGAAACUUAUGUGUCAACUUUCAAUCAAUAUUCAAUUUUCUGUCGCUCAUUAAUUCAAAUUUUAUUUACUAAAUUAGAGUUUGAAUUAGUCUGGUUUACCAAGUGUUAUUUAUUCAAGUUUUAUUAGUGUAGGUUUAAAGAGUUACCUAAAACAUGAUGAAAUGGCUUCUUUUCAAUGUAGCGAGAAAACAUGAUGGGAGAAAACUUCAAUUAAAAUGUAAAUUGCAGAAGAGUUAGCAAGUUAUUAUGAAUGUAGCUAGCCUCAGUCAAACAAUAUUUAAUGCUAUGAUAUUUUAUGAAGAAAUAAUCUUUAAUAUUUUAUUAAAGUCAAUCAUAUAUAUUACCAUAUACUUAAAUAUUUUAAUUAUAUUCAAGUGUUAUUAAUAAAUAUUAUGAGUUCAAAGAAAAGUUCCUUCAAUUUAGUAACUAAUUGGAGUACAUUUAUGCAUACUUUUAUAUUCAUGCUUAGCAUAUAGUGAAUAUGUGGAUUUGAGAGGCUAGUUCUUGAAUUAAACUUUUUUAUAUACAUGACUAAUCUCUUAACCUAAAAGUUCUUAUUUUGUUCAUAAAUAUUUCAAUCCUAUUCCACUUUAUUUGUAACUAAUGAGACUUUCUUAGCGACAAUAAAAAAAUUUAAAUUAAAUAAAUUAUUUGAGGUAAUCCACCCGAUAUACAAAACUUUAUCUAUAAAAUUGUAUUUGUACCAAAAACCUACCUCCAACAAAAUGCCUAUGACUCACAUAAGAAGUCAAAAAGAACCUUAGGACAACCCACAACCAUUAGGAGCAGUCUUAGUCCUAAGGCAUAAAUGUGGCUCUGUAAACAACAGUUAGAAGCACAGUAACAAAACCAUAUGCAGAAAGUAUAUCAGCACUUGAAGUUGAACUAAUGAAAUAUGUAGGAUGACAUGCAAAAUUUAGUGCUCCAAGUUUCUCCAGCUCCCUCCCACAACAUAACACCCCUUGCUCCGUUAGAAUAAUGCACCUUUUGUACCAAAAUUAGCAUCUUCCUUACUUACAGUGGCCUUAGGCAAUUUUAUGGGAUAAAAUUGUACUUGGCUAAGGAUUAAUGUGAUGGUUGGAGUUUGCCUUCUUUCUACACCAUAUUCACCAUAAUGUGGAACUUGAAAUGCUUUUCUUUACAAUUGUAUGUUAUUGUUCGAGAGAUCUUAUGAAACAAAACAAACAAGGAAUAAUUAGCUACCCUGUUAUAGGAGAAGCUGCAUUUAAAAAAUAUGGUUGAGUUAUUGUAUUAAUAAGGAUUUCUUUGCUUUGAAUUCUAAUUUUGAUAAUAUUCGACUUUCCCCUUUAAAUAAGCUUUUACUUCUUUCACCAGGACCAUCACUUUAUUCACCCAUCACACUUCUUUUCAUGUUUGUAUUUCAAAGUUAAACAUAUUAAAAGAAAUGAGUACAACAAUUUUUGUUGUUGUUAUCUAACCAAAAAAACUGAAAUAAAUAAGACUUAUAAGCACAAACUAAUGAGUUCACGAAGAAACUUCAACUUGAUGGGAAAAAAUGCAUGCGAAAACAAUAUAUACAAUCACGAAUCAAUUGCAAAAAAUAAACAACACAGGAUUUAACGUGGUUCGGUCUCAAAUCUGCAACCUACGUCCAUAGGCAACUAAUUAGGUUUUCAUUCUGUUUGUUACAAUUUUAUUUCAAACACAAAGAUCUCUUAAGUAGAGAUUAUGGAGAGGACACAAUAAUUAAGCACACUCACUAAAACAUGGUGUUUAAUCCGUCCAACCGAAUUGAUCCUAGAUUCACACUCAACUCAACCCUCUCUUCACACAUUGUCUUAAUCCCAAAGUUUAUAGGGCUUAAUCCCAAAGUUUAUAGGGCUUAUCAUAACUUAGUGGCCUUGUAUUUGUUGAACUUGUAACCUAUCUGCUUCAACUACGGAUUGAAAUAAACAUUUGCAAUUUUUCUUCAAUUGCUGAUUUGAGAUUUGACUUCAUGUAAUUAAUUAAAUAAACUAGUAGAAUCCAAAUUUCACUUUUUAACAAAAGUAAAUAAAAAAAGUAAAAUAUUUGCUUCCGUUUAAGAGAUGUCACUCUUUUACUUUUCAUAAAAAAAAUUAAAAUUUCUUAGAGUCCACUAAGCUAUGUAUUACGAAGUGGACUUUAAGCCUAACUCAACCCCAUAAAACCGGAUCAUAGGGUUGAGGUUUACACCCACUUAUAUACAAUGAAAGGCUCUAAUCUCUAGUCGAUGUGGGAUCUCCAACACUAUGUACAUUUUUUAUUUAUAAAUAAAGAUUUUACAUAAGAUUUCAAAGAGUUUUUACAAGUUUUAAUUUAUUAAAAUAUAUAAAUCAUUUCAAUCAAAUUAAAGUUGACUAAAUCUAUAAUAAUAAUUUAGGUCGAUCUAAAUUUUGAAAACUAAAUUCAUGUUUACGAGAUACUUGAUAUUAGAAAACUAUAAAUCAUGAUGCCUUAAAAGCAUUUACUUUAUAUUUAAUCAAUUGUCUUAACCAAUAAUAAUGAAAUAAAUUACCAACUAUUAAUGAAAUAUUUAGAACAGAUAAAUAAUAAUUUUAAAGUGUUUAGGGUUUAGUAAUAAUAUGAAAGUUGCAUAGUAAUAUGAAAGUUUUUAUAUAUAAAUAAAACUGUAAACAUAUUAUAUCACUACAAGAAAAAGUGAUUUUAGAAACUAAAUUUUUGGUUUCUAAAAUGAUAAAAUUAGUCACUAACUUAAUUAGAGACUAAUUUAGAAACUAAUAGUCUUAAGUGGCUAAAAUCAUAGUCGCUAAUUUUAGAUACCAAUUUAGAUUCUAAUUUAGAAACCAAUUUAGUUACCAUUAAAUAAAAACCAAUUUAGUGACCAAAUAUAUAGAAACUAAUUUAGUGACCAAUUAUAUAGAAACCAAAUUAACAAUUUUAUAAAAACCAAUUUAGUGACCAAAAUAUAUAAAAACUUAUUUAGUGACCAAAUAUAUAAAUACCAAAAAAGUCACUAUAUUGGUUUCUAAAUAAUAUAAUUUAUUAUAAAAUAUUUAUUAUUAUUAUUAUUAUUUGUUUUUUAUAUUUAUUUUUUAUAUUUAUAUUUAUAUUUAUAUAUUUUUUAUAUUUAUAUAUAUAUAUAUAUAUAUUUAUAUUUUAUCAAGUGUAAAUCUUAGCCAAAAAGACUUCAAUACUUUAUAUUUUAAGUGACACUCAUUAAAAACAUAUCAAACUUUAUAUUAAGUUGUAUGAUAGCUUAUAGAACCAUUUUAAAUGAAUCAAAUAGAUAAUAAUAAAAAAAAAUAAAACUUCUUUUAAGUAAUAACUCUUUAGAAACAUAUCGAACUGAAUAACAUCAUAUGCAUUUUAUUAUCUGUUUCCUAGUUUAAUUAGAAAAACAUUAAAGAUUCUAGCAGUGUAAACUAUUGGGCGACUGAUAGUUAUUUAACAUUAGUAUUUAUAAGAAACGAACAAGGAGGAAACAAAAAAUUGUGAGGUUAUACCAAAAAGGGAUAAUAAUACUUAAUGGGAGGUAAAACGACUUGUAAUGAACAAUACACCGAUGCCUGCAGAAGAUGAUAUCCAUAUGUUAUUAUUAGUAUUGAUUUCUCAAGACAAAAAAGAAUAAUGGACAAGUAACUGAAGAGAAAAUACAUAGAUUGCAUUGAAAACAUAGCACAUUGCUAGCUAGUAAUAAGAGAAGGAACCAGUAACAAGCAAAUUUCACAUCAUAUUCUUCACCAUGCCCAGCCAAAAAAGAACUGCAUUAUUAGUUUUGGCAAAUACAAUUCUAUAUAAUAUUCUGUGUUUCAAGGUUGAUGAUAUUAGAAACAACACAACUCACUAUUUCAAAAUCUAUAUGUANNNNNNNNNNNNNNNNNNNNNNNNNNNNNNNNNNNNNNNNNNNNNNNNNNNNNNNNNNNNNNNNNNNNNNNNNNNNNNNNNNNNNNNNNNNNNNNNNNNNCUUUCCGAAUCUAAUAAAGAACACGUUUAAACAGGGGACAAAAUUUCAUUCAGAAUAAAACUCAAUGUGAACUAAAGAAAACAAAUAGCAAAAGACUCAGUGUAAACUUCAAAACAGAAAAUUUGCUUUCUGUUGUUAGGACACUGCAAGUGACAACAAAUAACAAUAGAAUAAUUAAUUAAUCAACAAAAGAAAAAUAUAUUUGUGAAGUUUUUGACAUAUUUCUUAUUUAUUCAUUGAAUCAUUCACCAAUCAUCCACAAACUGAAAGUGUUUCAAUUGGCAAGUUAUAAUUUCUCAAAUUUUAAUCACAUUGAAAACAAAUGGCAAAUCGGCUAACAUAACAAGCACAACAAUUUGAAUGCAUUUUAGUUGCAGUUGUGCUUCAUUCAGUGCCAACAGUAACCGUGAAAAUGUUUCUAUAACUUUUAAAUGUUUACAUUAUAAUAACUCAUUAAAACUUAAACUGGCGUAUCAAUUUGUAUCUUCAAUCAAAUCUGAUUUCUCCUUAAGAAUUAAAAGAUACAUGAGUUCUCCUUAAGAACUAACUCUCCGUGAGUAUUUUUAGGAAAUACAACAAACAUGAUAACCGAAAUUAGGGUUUUAACCGAAUUUAGGGUUUUAAGAUGGGGAAGAUACAAUGAGUAAAGUUGUGAAACUUCGAUGAACAAGAAAAAAAUUAAAGACAAAGAUCGAAAAUGGAGCAUGAAAUAAUGGAGCGAGAAUGAAACUUACGAUGAUAAGCAGAGUGAGUUGCCGUCGCGGGGGCGUUGCCGUCGCGAGUGUGUUUCCGUCGCAGGGUGACGUUGCAGGGUGCCGUCGUAGGGUACGGUCGCAGGGUGCGGUCGCAGGGUGCGCGGUUCCAGUUGCAGAGUUGUUGAGAGUGAGAGAUGAGAAGAAAAGUUAGAGAGAUAAAAUUUUGAAAUUAAAAAUCCUGCAGAAUAUUUGCUCUCAAAUUUAAAAAAAUUAAAUUGAUAUUAAUUAUUUUAAUAUUAUACUAAAAUUAAUAAAUUAGUAAAUUUAUUUAUAUUAAUUUAAAAUAUUUUAUAAAUUAAUAAUUAAUUUUAUAAAAUUUAAUUAUUCCAAAAUUAGUAUAUAAAUUUAAAUAAUAGUAACUAAAAAUUUAAGUAUUUAAUAUAUGGUGAUUAGAAAUUACAAAAUUAGUUUCUAAUUUUAUUAUUUUUAGAAACCAAAAAUUAGUUUCUAAAAUAGAUUAAAAGUGACUAAAAAAAUGGUUUCUAAUUAUAUUUUAAUAAGAGACUAAAAAAUUGGUUUUUAUAAAUAUAUUUUUAUUAUUAGCUACCAAAAAUAUAGUAUCCAAUUAUAUUAUAUUUUUUAUUAAUAAUAGAUACCAUUUUAGUAACCAAUAAUUUUUAGUUUAUAAGAUGGUAUCUAAAUUAGUUACUAUAGAAACUUUUUUUUUUUAAUUUCUAAAUUAGUCACCAUUCAAUCAUUUUCUUGUAGUGUAUAAAUCAAAUUAACAUAACAUAUAUUUAAAUAUAAAUUAUGAAAGCUUUUAUAUAUAAAAAAAACUGUAAACAUAUUAUAUAAAUCAAAUUAACAUAACAUAUAUUUAAAUAUAAAUUGUUUGAAUGUACAUGACAAUGUUUGUAAUUAUUAUUAUUAUUAUUAUUAUUAUUAUAUAUAUAUAUAUUUUGACAAAUAUUUAAAAAUGUGACAACUCAUUUUUUUUUUAAAUUAAAAAUUAAUAGCAAAUAUAUUAAAAAUUACAAUAUAAAAAAAAGUUAAAUCCAUUUAUUACAAGAUGAUAUUGUUAUGGCACUAAAGGAUAUAAAAGACUUUGCAUGGAUACCUAGAUGGAAACCACCAGUUUCUGGAAGAAUGAAAAUAAACGUAGAUGGAAACUGAGUUAUCAUUCACUAAAUAUUGUCACAGGGAAGUCUAUAUAUAGAGAUCAAAAUUAUAUGUAGGUCUUUGGAUUUUCUUGUAAUACAUCGAAAGCUGAAAUUUUAGCCAUUUUGCAUGGAAUUCAUGUAACUACUUUAGAAUAUAAUAACAUGUAUUUGUAUAGUAUAGUUCACUCCAAAAUACAAAAUAAUAUAAACAAGUGAAACAUCAUGGACAACCAAGUGUUUAGAAUAAGAAGAUGGAUGCAAAUAAACAAUGUUCUGUAUUGGGAAAUAGUAUAUACUUUACCAGUAAAUAAUUUCAACAUUGAAUAUAUCUAGCUAGAUUUGAUUGUUUGAUCCUCCGUCACUGUUUCAUCUGGAAAUAGGAUAGGUUUUGGAGGUAUUUCUAAUUCUUCAAUAUCUCCUUCAAGCAUUUCCACUACUCUAUUCAUUGAGGGUCGAUCAUUUGGUUUUAGUUGUAUACACCAUAGUGCAACUAUGAUCAUUUUCUUUGCUAUUUUAUUUUCCUCCUCUGUUACAUCUUCGAUAUCUACAUCUUCCUCUUUUCGAAUAUGAUCAUAGAUCCAAAGGGGAAAGUAAAUUUGACUUGAGUGAUCUGCAUGAGUAUUUAGAUUCUUCCUCUUACUUGCCAUCUCCAUCAAUAACAUUCCGAAGCUAUAAACAUCAGCCUUAUAGGAUAUUCCUCCAAUAUUUUUAUAAAACAAUUCUGGAGCCAUAUAUCCAAUGGUUCCUCUUGCUGCAGUCAUUGUGACGAUGCUAUUAUCUAUUGUAUAUAAAUUUGCCAAUCCAAAGUCAGAAACCUUAGGGAUGAAGUUUUCAUCUAGUAAGAUGUUAUGGGGUUUGAUGUCAAAAUGCAAAAUUUGCAUCUCACACCCAUGGUGGAGAUAAGCAAUCCCACGAGCCACUCCUAUUGAUAUAUUAUAUAUCUUUUCAUAGCUUAAAUGUACACUUCCAUCUUUUGAGAAAAUAAAUUUAUCAAGAGAUCCAUUGGGCAUGAAUUCAUAGAUAAGAGCACGCUUUGAGCCACUAACACAAAAUCCAAUUAACCGUACCACAUUUUGAUGAUGUAUUCUUCCAAUGGUUGCAACUUCACUGAUAAAAUCUUGUCCAUUUCCUUUGGAUUUGCCUAACAUUUUGAUGGCCACAGAAGGUCCACUAAGUAACUUUGCCUUAAAGACAAAGCCAAAUCCUCCUUCACCUAACUUCUCUUUGAAACCUGCAGCCAUCUUCUUGACUUCUUUGUAUGAGUAUCUAAUAGGUGCCAAACUAUUUUGUUCAAGGUAAUUUUCAAUAUUUUCAUACAUUGACAUGUGUCUUUUUCUCCAUUUACAUAUAAAAAUAACAAUUAAGAAUGGCAAUCCAAACAAAACUUUGUAAGUCCAUACCAUAAAGAUAAUACAAAUGACAUAUCCUGUAGAAAUAAUUUACUUGAGUGAUUAUACUGAUACUGUAAAAUGCAACAAAAUAUUUAUUAAUGUAAAUUUUCGUUCAAAAAUGCAAACUUUACACAUCCAUUUACUUAGUAAAAUUUCAAUAAAUAAAUAAAUUUAAUGUCUAGCAUAAACAAUAAACCCUAAACCCUAAACAAUUAUCAACAGACACUAACACGAACACUGAUACGACAUGAAAAUACGUAUAAUAUAUAAAAUGUAGGACAAAGGGACACAAAUCUAUAUAUUAUAUAAUUAUGUAUUAUAUAAAUUGACAAUAAAAAUUUAUGUGCAUAAGUAUGUUCCAGAUUAUUUUUUGAAGCAGAAAAAUGUUUUUCAUAACUGGUUCAAAAGAAUUUGUUUCUUAUUUUUAUAAUCAUAAUAAAAAUUUAUACAAUAAGUUUGAGAUUUUAGAAAAUUAAUGUAUUUUUAAAAAAAAUUGUGUUAGAACCGUACUAGAAUUGUGAGAAAUCCAACAAAUACUUUUUGAAUUGGAUACUUCACAGAUACGUGUCCUACAAGUUUCAUACGAGUGUCGGUAUCCGAUAUGAGUAUUCGACAUCAACACGCCAUUUAAGAGAAGUGUCUAAGCUUCAUAGCGUUGUUGUCUAUAAGUAAAUUGUGUGGAACAUUAAUGUGUCCUAAGACCUAAUUCAAUGAUGCUUGUAAAAUACAAACAUAUUUUUAAAAUAAAAUUCUUUAUAAACUUUUAAAUUCAUUGUGUUACUCUAUAACCUCUUUAACGUAUUAAAAUCACAAUUUUUUAAGUUAUUAACAUUUUAUAUCGGUUAUAAACCUUUAUCUCUAUAACCAGACAAAAAGACUUGCAUUUGAAGUUUUGAUAAAGGUUCUGUUCGAGUAGUAUAAGUCACAGUGUACUCUCUUUUAUCCCUAUAUUCAUUGUUUAAUGAGGAAAUUGUGAUAAUAUUUACAACAAAAUUUUACUUGAGUGAAUAAGCAUCACUGUAAAGAGUCAUUCGAUUACACCCUAAACUUUACAGGACUACUUUUAUUUGUUUUAUAUUAUUUAAAUUGGCUAUAUUAUGUUACGAAAUCAUUUGUUAAAGUUAUACACCUAAAUAUAAUUAAUCUACAUUGAUUACAUUUUACGUAGGCGUAUUUUCGUUAAUAAAUUAAUAUUAACAAUCGAACCCAUGUAAUGAUGUUUUAUUAUAUAAUUAAUUAAUUUAAAACUACAUACAUUUACAGGUAUAAAAAAUUAUGUACAACCAAGUAUGCUACUAAAUAAGGACGUCAUAAAGUAUCAAAACUAAUUCUUAUUACUAUUAUGCUAAAUCAAGUCAUUUACUAUUAUUGAAAAAAUGUGGUGACUCUUUUAUAAAUAAGCGUAACUUUAUAACGAUGAAUGGUUGUAUAAAAAUUGUAAUAAAAUAUGUUUGUAUUAAGACUAUUAUGUUUGUAAUAAAAAUUCUUAUUACUAUUAUGCUAAAUAUGUUUGUAUUAAAUAACAAUGGUUACAACAUAUAGUUAUCAUCAUAUGUCUAUUAAUAUACUCAAAUCGUGUCAAUGCAAAUCGUUCCAUUUUGCAAUGUGCUUCUAAUGUUUUCUUCUUUUCCAUUGUGUUGCUCUCAUCAUCUAUACUCCUUCGUAUUUGUGCUAGUAAGAAAAUUUUAUUUUUAUAUCUAGUACAUUGACCUUAAAUAUGUUAAGUUUUUCUCAUGUACGAAUGAUAUGAUAGAGAUGAAUGACGCCUAGAGGUAGGGAACAAAAGGAAAACGAGACAUCUCAUAUUUCUCCACACAUUUUUCAGUAAACUUUAGCAAGUAUGAUAUGUGGAAAAUCAUCCAAAGUUGGAAAAGAGUUAGUGAAGUGUUCAUAUCUAGGAAACUAAAUGGUAGAGGACAAAUAUUUGACUUUGUGAGAUUCAAAGAGGUUGUGAAUGAAGUAGAAUUGGAAAAACGACUAGGUGAAGUCUCGAUAGGAAAUAUGAAAAGUCACAUAAACCAAAAUACAAGAGUUUUGAAAAUCACACAAACAACUAGAAAAAACAUGAAGGGAUGAACAUGGAGAAAAAGUCGAGAGAACAACAAAGUGGGUUUAGGGCAAUCUUGUUAGGAAGGAUAAAGAGGCGAAUUCUUUGCCCAUUUUUUGUAAGUUGUGGAGGUGUAAGGCAGUACCCUCUGCAGCGCUUAUAGCCUGGAGGUUGAUGGAAAACAAGCUCGCUACUAGGGUAAAUCUGAGUAGAAGAGGGGUAUUGGUGGAUAGCUCGACAUGUAGUUUGUGUGGGAAGGAGGAAGAAUCUUGCAGACAUUUUUUCUUCGAUUGCAACUUUGCUUGGCGAGUUUGGUAUAGAUGGCUUGGGGUUCUGGUCGUGUCCCACAUUGAGCCGAAGCUUAACUUUGAUCAAUUUAGGAUGAGCUUUGCUUCAGAGACAGUUAAUAUCGUAUGGAACACAAUAUGGGUUGGGGUGGUUAGAGAAAUAUGGAAUCUCAGGAAUAACAUAAUUUUCAAAAGAGGAAUGGCAGAUGCGUUUGAAGUUUUUUCUAUGGUGCAAGUAAAGGUUUGGUCUUGGGUCUAUAUAAAUUUUAGGUCAGCUUCGUUUUCCUUUUCUGAUUGGUGUUUAGAACCUAUGGUGUUCAUGAGGUUAAUCACUUGAGUUUGUUAGAUGUAGCAAGGGCAAGGUAUGUUUUAGUUAGUUCUGGAGGUUUUAGGCAGGAAUCGGUGUUUGGGUAUGUAUAAGGGUUGAACCACCCCUGAAGUGGUUCCUAUUUAUUUAUUUAUUAUUGCUGAUAAAAAAACAACAACAAAGUGGGUGAAGAAGGAGCAAUACUUUACUUAUGUACAAGCGAUAAAAUGUUACACUAAAAAGGAAGGUAAAAAGAUACAAUGGAAAAUACAGCUCCAAGUGUAAGAGGAGGAAAAGAUGUAGAUGAACAAAAGUUUUGAAGGGAAAUACAUGGUGUGAGUAAGAUGAAUAUACUAAAUGAAAACUUUAUCUUUGCUGAGCUAGAUUCAUCAUAAUAAGAUAUUUAGGAGAUAAUCAAAUGAAUGAUUUUCAAACACAUUUGAGUAUCCUUAGUCAUCUCAAACAAUGUCAGGAAACAAGAUGGAAUAGGUGAGGUGUAGAGACAUACCAUACCACUAUCCUUAUCGGGUAUCAAAUUUCAAACAAAAUGCCAGUCGUGGGGGUGGAAAGAUCUAUUUAAAUUAUGUGGUGAAGGAGUUACGGUGGGAUGGUUCCAAAAAGCAAUAGGAUGGAAAUUUGGAGUAGGGGACAAAGUUAGAUUUUGGGACGAUAAAUUGGGUUCAUAAUAAUAAUCUUAAAUUUGUAUACCCCAGGCUAUAAUCAAUAUCUUUGGAUCAUGGCUUAGAGGUGGGAGAGGUAGGCGUGUGGGAAGAAUUAGAUUGGCAAUGGAAACUAAGCUGGAGAUGUAAUAGGUUUGAAUGGGAACUAUUGCAUAACAAGAAGAAUUGUUAAGGACAUUAUCUUGUAAAAAACUGAAUAGGGAGGUGAAGGAAACAAAAGUUUGGGAGGGUGACGACUUCUCAGUCAAAUCUGCUUACGAAUGCAUAACAAAUGACGUCAAAGGUAGUAGCAAUGCUACAUUUAAAUAUCUAUGGAUGUCUAAAGCGCUCCCAAGCGUGCUAACUACAACGUGAAGGGCUUUAUUGGAUAGAUUGCCAACAAGAGUGAAUUUAAAUAGGAGAGACGUAGUGGUAAAUAACUUAUUUGUGUUUUGUGUCAAGAUUGGGCAGAAUCGACUCAAUACUUACUUUUGAAAUGUAAGAUUGCAUAUCAGGUAUGGAACUACUAUUUCAAAUGGAUUGGACUUUUGUUCGUCCAACAUAAGGAGUUGAAAUGCCACAUUGAGAGUUUCCAUUUGGUACAUGUAAGUCUAAAGCAAAAUCUUGUGUGAAAAGGUCUUUGAACGGCUAUAUAGUAUGGAUAAUUUUGGACCAUAGGAAUAAACUUUUCUGUCAUGAGUAGAUAAGACUAAGAGGAAUAAGGUGUUGCGUGAAGAACUAUUAGAACAAUGAUUUUUUUUGGUUUGGUGGUUCAUUAAGCACAAAUCUUUCAAAGUGAAGGAAAAAAUUCCUUGAGGUGAAGCAGAUUGGUGCAGCAAAAUUAGACUGCUUUUGAUGCUGCUCUACUUAUAAAUAGCUAGGUAAUAAGCAGUAGGAAUAUAUAAAUAUACUUAUAUCUAGAUAGAGAUAAUACAAUAGAUUUUGGUGUAAUUUUGGUUUGUAAGGUCUAUAACUUAUUGUACUUUGUAUAAGAGGUAGAAUAUUUUUGAAAUGAUUCAUUUUAAUUCAUUUUAUUUUUUUCUGUCAAAAAAAGAAAUUAAGAUGAUAAAAUCUGACCUGGUAUACUGAAUUCCAGUGAUUCAUAAAAUGAUGACCCUGAAAUGAAGGAAAAAAAUAUCAACUUUAGAAUACUGGUAAUCUCAACAGUUAUUCCACAUAAAGUUAUUAAAGCUAAAAUUUUAUUCCCCUAAAUAAACAAAAUUAUUUAUAUCAAUUUGCAUAAACUAAAAUUGGCAGUUAUACUGAUAAAACUACUCAAUAUAUAUAUAAGUUUCUCAUUUAAAAUAAGAAAUGUAAUCAUAUCUUAAUAUUUGGUUUAGGAUCACUCACGGCAUUGAAGCUUCUGGUUAGAAGAGUCCAAAUAGCAAUAUCUAUCGGAAAGUGAACAAUGUUUGUGACAGGCAAGUUUUAUCCAUGAUAUCUCAAAUCCAUAGGCGAGUGCAGUGUGCAUGGAAGAGUAGGAAUGGUAAUCGAAAGUGGAGAGAGAAGUGGGAGCAACAAGCUUUACCUCACACCCAACUUCUAAGUCCUCUGCUUUUAGGUCUCCACCAAUUGCAUAUGCAUACCCCUUCCCCUCCCAUUUCACCCACUCUCCACUCUCCACAUACUUCCCUUUCUCUCUCACCCAAUCCUUACAAUUCACAAACACUAUAUGCGAGAAACUCAGAGAUUCCCAAUUUACAGAGGCUCUUAGACCGGCUUGGUAUGAAUCCGUGUAGUAAGCGUAAGUGUCAGAGAAAUUGGAGCGAGAGAGGGAACGGAGAGGAAGGGAGGAGAGAUUAUGGUGUUGAAGAGCAGGAUCAACCACUCUCACUGUGUAGUUAUUGUAGUUUAUUGACUGCACAUGAUAUUUUGCAGAGUACAGAUACAACACCGUAACGUUAUUCUCACAACCAAGUUCAUACCUUUCCUCACCACACUUUUCUGGGUCGCCUUUUAAUCGAAAUGGAUAACUGAUGUUGCUGAUUUUACCACAGGAAGAAGGGGGACAAACGUGUUCUAGGUCGUCCUUGGUAGCAGAAAUAUGGUGGAGUAGAAGUAGCAGUACCACCAACACUGCUCUCUCUCUCCACAUCAUGUCUAAACUGUUUCUCACUGAAUUCAAGUGCAAACAAAUCCAAGUUAGAUAUUUAUAUUUAAACAUCACAUACUGGAAUAUAUAGCUAUAAAGGACCACAUUUUUUUUUUUUGAAGAGUUAUGAUACUUAAAACGUAGACUUUGACUCAGAAACCGCGUUUCUAUCUGGUUUCCGCAACUAAUUUUAAUCAAUACAAGCUUAUAUUUUGAAAAAUAAUUUUAAUGACUUUAGAAUUUGAGUCCCAAAAUAAUGUUUGUUUGGUUAAGAAACUUCAACAUGUGAUUGGUACAUAUAUUAUUUUGGUUGAAUUUUUCCCCGAAAAUGGCCUCAUAUAUAUGUUUCUUUGUGUUAAUUUCUUGAACAUAAUCUUCUUGGACAUGGAGCAAGAAAGAGUGCUACCAAGUGUGGUGGCAGAACGAAGCACUAACAAUUUUCUGUAAGUGUAAAAGGUAACGGACAGAGAAAAACAUAUGGAAGCAAUUCCGAACAGGCCUUAUUUAAUAAAUUUGUUUUCAUAAUUAAACAAUUAAACAGAUUUAUAAUACCAUUUUAAUAAAUCUAUUUUCAUAUUACAAAAAUUAAAUACUACACAAAGUUAUACAUCAAAUUGAAAAAUAGAACAAAGUUAAUGUUGGUUUAAAAGUACACCAAGGUACAUACACAAAAUAUUUUUAAAUAUGAUAACAUUGUAUUAGAUUAUUACAAUCAUUUUCCUUAAUCAGUUUUGUUUUCACCACUUCAUUCAGUGAUGAAACAUCACUUCACAUAAGGUGCCAACAUCUCGUACUUAAAAUAGAUAAAAACUAAUUUCAGAUUAUUCAUUUUCAAUUUUUAUAACUAUAAAAUAAAGGAAGACACUAAAAAUAAAGAUUUUAGUAUACUAAGUUAUAACCCAUUCCAAUAAACAUAAUUUUAGGUUAUUUGAAAAACCUUUCUUUAACAUCAUUAGAAGUUUUAGAUGUACUAUAAACUAGAGAGUUAUAAAAAUAAAGAAAUGUAUUUUUCUAUUAAAAAUAACAAUUAAAUAUAAUUAUUUUUGAAUUUCUUUAAAGUUUAUAUUAAAAAAAUUACAAUUACUACUACAACUAAUUUAUUUUAUAGUUAUCCUUAUUUAAUGGGAUGUUUUUUCUUACUCUUGAAAGAAAUAAAAUAAUGUAUAUAUUUGUUUAAAAUCGAAAUUCAGUUAACAUUUGAUAAAAUAAUAGAAAAGUGAAUGAAAUCUAUAUUACAUAAAUAUGAAAAGUUAUACAUUUUAUUUGAAUUUUGAUAAUAAUAUUGACUUUGAAGCCAGUGCAUUUUAAUUUAGUAUAAUGAUAUUGACUUGAAUUUUCAGAGUUUGGAAAAUCUCUUAGUGAAUGGUUUAUCCCAUAUUCAUCACCCUGAUCAAUUGUGUGAGACUUGCAUUUUUGGAAAGAAUCAUAAGAUACAUUUUGUUAAGGAGCCUUGGCGUGCGAAAUUUCCUUUGCAGCUUGUUCAUACAGAUGUUUGUGGCCCGAUGAACAUAUCAUCAAUUGGAUGUAAUAAGUAUUUUUUAACCUUUAUUGAUGAUUUUUCAAGGAAAACCUGGAUUUAUCUAUUGAAAAGCAAGGAUGAGGAGGUAUUCCACUGCUUUAAAAUAUUUAAAGAAUUUGUUGAAAGACAGAGUGACAGACUAAUUAAGAUGGUGCGUAGUGAUGGAGGAGGUGAGUACAAGUCUAAUGAGUUCAAGAGGCACUGUGAAGAACUUGGGUUGCAGCAUAACAUAAUUUGUCCCUACACACCUCAACACAACGGAGAUGCCGAGAGAAAAAAUAGAACAAUCAUGGACAUGGUGAGGAACAUGUUUAAAGCGAAUGGUAUGCCAAAUUAUUUUUAGGCUGAGGCCGUAACAUGUGCGGUAUAUUUGAUAAACAGAUCACCCACUUGGAGUGUUCCUAACAACUAUGAUUGAAGCAUGAAGCGGAUUCAAACCCAAUGUGCAACACUUGAAGGUAUUUGGGUCAAUUAAUUAUGCUCAUGUCCCCAAAGCAGCAAGAUCGAAGUUGGAUGAUAAGACAGUGAAUACCAUUUUCAUUGGAUAUAAGCUUGGAGGAUACAAACUAGACAGUCCAAUUACAAAGAAGGUGAUUGUCAGUCAUGAUGUUACAUUUGUCGAAGAUAAGGAAUGACAAUGGAAUGCAACAACUGAAAUGGAUUCGAAAAAACGAUAUAUUUACGUUUUGAACGAUGAUGUAGAAGAUCAAGUCACUCUUGAAGCAUCUGCAGUUCAACCUGAAGCUGUAUUCAACCUAAAGUUGCAGCUCCAAUUGUAACUAUGAUGGAGCGACCAAAAAGGCAACAACGACAACCUGUACACCUUCAAGAUUGCGAAGUAAAUCUUGAGGAUGAAGUUUAUGACAAUGGAUAUUUGGUUCACUUUGCUUUUCUUGUAGAUUCAGAACCCGUGAGACUUGCAGAUGCCAUUCAACAUCCCAAAUGGCAAGAGGCUAUGAAUGAAGAAUUGAUGGCGAUUGAGAAAAAAAAAUACAUGGCAACUCACUGAUCUUCCAAAAGGACACAAGGCAAUUGAUGUGAAGUGGGUGUACAAGAUUAAAGUGAAAGCAAAUGGUGAGAUUGAUAGAUACAAGGCAAGGUUGGUGGCAAAGGAAUCCGAGCAAAGAGAAGGCUAUGAUUACGAAGAAAUAUUUUCUCUUGUAGCUCGAAUGGAAACAAUGAUAUUAAUCAUUGCUUUAGUUGCACAAAGGCAAUGGAAAAUUCACCAAAUGGACGUCAAGUUUGCGUUUCUAAAUGACCCACUUGAUGAAGAGGUUUAUGUAAAGCAACCGUCGGGUUUCAUACAAUCUGGAAAAGAGGAGAAGGUGUACAAACUAACUAAGACUUUAUAUGGUCUUAAACAGGCACCAAGAGCUUGGAACAAAAGGAUUGAUUCAUUUUUUCAUGCCACUGGAUUCAAAAAAAUGUACAUCAGAUCAUGGUCUUUAUGUAAAGACUAAUGAUUAUGGAGAUUUGCUAAUUUUAUGUCUUUAUGUUAAUGAUGUGAUUUUUACAGGAAGUAAUCUCAAAAUGAUUGGUGACUUCAAGCAUAUCAUGAUGAAGGAAUUUGAGAUGACUGAUCUUGGUCUUAUGUCCUACUUUUUUGUCAUUGAAGUCAUCCAAAGAGACGAUGGAAUCUUCAUUCAUCAGAGGAAAUUUGCUGCUAAGUUUUUAAAGAAGUUUAGGAUGGAGGAUUCAAACUCAGUUAAGACUCCAAUUGAAAUUGGAAUUAAGCUUACGAAGGAAGGUAAUGGGCAAACUGUAGAUGCAACAUACUUUAAGUAGAUUGUUGGGAGUCUUAGAUAUCUCACGUGUACUAAACCCGACAUAUGUUAUGAUGUGGGAUUGGUCAGUCGAUACAUGGAGUCACAUCGACAAGUUCAUUUACAAGUUAUAAAGAGAAUUAUGCACUACAUCAAAGGUAGUACAACUUUUGGUUUAUUUUACUCUUCAUCUAAGAAGAUUGAGAUCGUCAGAUACUCAGACAGUGAUUGGGGUGGAGAUUCAGACGAGAGGAAGAGCACUAGUGGUCAUUGUUUUAUGAUCGAAAAGACUGUUUGCUUGUGGUCAUCAAAUAAACAGUCAAUUGUUGCAUUAUCUACUUGUGAAGUUGAGUAUGUAGCAGCAACAACAAGUGUUUGUCAAUAAGUUUGGUUCAACAAUAUCAUGACUCAAAUUUUGGUUUUAAUCUAGAUGUUCCAAUCAAGAUUUAGGUUGGCAAUGUCUCUGCAAUUAAUCUCGCAAAGAAUCUGGUAUUUCAUCAAAGAAGUAAACACAUUGAUAUUCGAUAUCACUUCCUACGAGACCAAAAGUUGGGAAGAACAUGAUCAAAUCGGAAUACUGUUAGUAUUCCUAUUUUAUAACUUCUAGUAUUUGUAAUUUUAUUAUAUAUAUAUAUUAUUGAAGUAAAUCAAAAUGAAUGUAUGAGUUCGACAAUUUUGCAAUUUCGCACAAUUACAUCAUCAAUUUAUACAAUCUUUUGCCUUCUGUUAUUUCCUUCAAUUAGUUUCUACAAAUUUGACAAUCAAACAUAUCAUUAUAACCUAGGUUAACAUAAAUUUAUCUUUCACCAAAAGAUGUUACAUGUCGAACAUAUAAAUAUUUUUAUCUAAACAACAAAAAAUUAAAAACUAAAUAUUGAACUAAAAAACAUAAUUCAUUGACAUGAAAAUUUUGAUAAAGUAGGAUUGACCUAAUUUUUAUCUUUUCCUACUUUAAUGUAAACUUUAUGAUGUUGUAGUUUACACUAUAUGAAAUAGAAAAGAUAAAUAAUCAUCUAAAAAUUUAGAGGAAAAAGUUGAGAAAAAUUGAUUUGCGUAGGUGAGACUCAUGAUACAUUAUCCAUUCAAUUCAAAAAAAAUUAUUCUUUUACAUUCCAUAAGUCAACACAAAUAUAUAUAUAUAUUUUUUAAUAUCUCGGUAAAGUGGGUUUGGCUUACGUAAUGUUUUUCCUCCCCUUAGCGCUAACUUUACUGUGUUCCAUCAUCAGUGGACAUCAAUAUGUGACAAUUAAUUCUUUUUUUUUUCUUAUAGUGGUUAAAUUAGAAUUAUUGACUAUAAUAACAUCCCAUUUAGGUCGAGGAAAUUUUGAAAACUAAAUUCAUGUUUGCAAUAUGAAAUAUUAGAAAAAUAAUAAAUUACGAUGCUUAAAAACAUUUAUUUUGUAUUUAAUCAAUUGUUAAUCAUAUAAAUUAUCAACUAUUAAUGAAAUAUUUAGAAGUGAUAAAUAAUAAUUUUGUAAACAUAUUUAUAUAUUUGUUUAAAAUAUAAAUUGUUUGAGUGUGAAUGAUGAUGUUUGCAAGUAUUAUAUAUAUUUUAAGAAAUAUUUAGAAAUGUGACAAUAUAAAAUUAAAAAUUAAUAACAAAAUAUAUUAAAAAUUACAAUGUAAAAAAUUUAAGUUAAAACUUAAUAUCCGCGAAAAGAGUUUUUUUUAAAAAAAAAAAUUAAAUAUAAUCAUCGCGUGUUUUAUCGACAACGCGUGUAAUCAUUACUUUUGUUUAAUUACAUGCACGGAGGUUUUCUUUUUGCUGCAGCAGUAUUGUGGAUCUGUAAAUGAAGAAACAAUCGUAUUUUUUAUGAUGAAGUAUGGAAGAUCCGUGAAGUUUUGUGAAAAAAAUCCAUUUACUACAAGAUGAUUUUGUUAUGGCACUAAAGGAUAUAAAGGACUUUGCAUGGAUACCUAGAUGGAAACCACCAGUUCUGGGAAAAUGAAAAUAAAGGUAGAUGGAAGCUGAGUAACUAAAUAUUGUGACAAGGAAGUCUAUAGGGAUCAAAUAUCUACGUAGGUCUUUGGCUUUUCUUCUUAUAAUACAUCGAAAGCAAAUUUUUUGGCCAUUUUGCAUACAAUUUAUGCAACUAUUUUAGAAUAUAAUAACAUGUCCUUAUAUCCAUAGUUCAUUACAAAAUACAAAAUAAUAUAAACAAGUGAAACAUCAUGGACAACCAAGUCUUUAGAAUAAGAAGAUGGAUGGCAAAUAACUAGGCUUGUGCAUCGUGGAAUAAUAUAUAUUUACAAGUAAAUAAUUUCAACAUUAAAUAUAUCUAGUAAGAGUUGAUUGUUUGAUACUCUGACACUAUUUCAUCUUCUGGAAAUAAAAUAGGUUUUGGAGGUAUUUCCAACUCUUCAAUAUCUCCUUCAAGCAUUUUCACUACUUUAUUCAUUGAGGGUCGAUCAUUUGGUUUUAGUUGUAUACACCAGAGUGCAACUAUGAUCAUCUUCUUUGCUAUUUUAUUUUCUUCUUCUGUCACAUUUUCGACAUCUACAUCUUCCCCUUCCCUAAUAUGAUCAUAGAUCCAAAGGGGAAAGUAAAUUUGACUUGAGUGGUCUGCAUGAGGAUUUAGAUUCUUCCUCUUACUUGCCAUUUCCAUCAACAACAUUCCAAAGCUAUAAACAUCAGCCUUAUGGGAUAUUCCUCCAAUAUUUUUAUAAAACAAUUCUGGAGCCAUAUAUCCAAUAGUUCCUCUUGUUGCAGUCAUUGUGACGAUGUUAUUAUCUAUUGGAUAUAACUUCGCCAAUCCAAAGUCAGAAACCUUAGGGAUGAAGUUUUCAUCUAGUAAGAUGUUAUGGGGUUUGAUGUCAAAAUGCAAAAUCUGCAUCUCACACCCAUGGUGGAGAUAAGCAAUCCCACAAGCCACUCCAAUUGAUAUAUUAUAUAUCCUUUCAUAGCUUAAAUGUAUAUUUAUUUCUUUUGAGAAAAUAAAUUUAUCAAGAGAACCAUUGGGCAUGAAUUCAUAGACAAGAGCACGUUUUGAGCCACUAACACAAAAUCCAAUUAAUCGUACCACGUUUUGAUGAUGUAUUCUUCCAAUGGUUGCAACUUCACUGAUAAAAUCUUGUCCAUUUCCUUUGAAUUUGCCUAACAUUUUGAUAGCCACUGAAGGCCCACUGCGCAACUUUGCUUUAAAGACUGAGCCAAAUCCUCCUUCACCUAACUUCUCUUUGAAACCUGCAGCCAUGUUCUUGAUUUCCUUGUAUGAAUAUCUAAUAGGUGCCAAACUAUUUUGUUGAAGAUAAUUUUCAAUAUUUUCAUAUAUUGACAUAUGUCUUUUUCUCCAUUUACAUAUAAAAAUAACAAUUAAGAAUGGUAAUCCAAACACAACUUUGUAAAUCCAUAUAUAUGCGACAUCUCCUGCAAUAAAAUUUUACUUUAAUGAUAACCCUUAUAGUAUAAAAUGCAAAAAGGUAUUUGUUAAAGUAAAUUCCCGUUCAUAAAAUCCUAAGUUUACAUAUCCAUUUACUUAGUAACAUUACAAAAAAAGUAAAUUUAAUAUUUAGCAAUAAACGAUUAUCAAUAAACUUCAUUUUUUAUGUUACUCUCUAUAAAUAAAUUUUUCUGUAACAUUAAUGUGUCCUAAGACCUAAUUCAGUAAAGAUUGUAAAAAAUAAAAAAAAAACAGAUUUUUAAAUAAUUUAUUAGUUUCUAUAAACUUUUAAAAUUCAAUCCGUGUCCCUCUUAACAUUUUUAACGUAUUGAAAAUCACAAUAUUUUAUCUUUAAUGUAAUUAACAUUUAUUAUCGGUUAUUAACCUUUAUUUAUACCACUUUAAUUAAAAUUUUGAUUUUUUAAAUUAGAUGAAGAAAAUAUAAGAAAAUUUUUAGAUAAAUUAAAACUGAAUUUUAAAAGAAGUGGAGUACAUAAUUAGAGUAGAGAUAAAUUAAGAUAAUAAAAUAUCAAUUUCAGAGUGUGUUGACAAAAAAGACUGUGAGAUAAUAAAGGUUGUGUUGGAUUAGUAUAAAUGACGUGGAAGAUGAUAAUGUGACUGUAAGAAGAAAUGGACUAAUGGUUGUCCAAAUUAAAAACUAAAUUUAUUAUAAUUUUGUUUCAUGUGGAUUGUCUAGUUUAUGGUUGCGUUCUCUAAUGAUGAAAUAGAGACAACAAAACAUCUGUUUUGUAGAAUGU